RNAcentral lists this ribosomal RNA (595 nucleotides) under uncultured bacterium. RNAcentral describes it as "bacterial SSU rRNA". It matches the Rfam family "Bacterial small subunit ribosomal RNA", at positions 338 to 947 of the family's 1533-position model. The record is from RNAcentral.
CCUACGGGAGGCAGCAGUGGGGAAUCUUGCGCAAUGGGCGAAAGCCUGACGCAGCAACGCCGCGUGCGGGAAGAAGGCUUUCGGGCUGUAAACCGCUUUCAGCAGGAACGAAAAUGACGGUACCUGCAGAAGAAGGAGCGGCCAACUAUGUGCCAGCAGCCGCGGUGAUACAUAGGCUUCAAGCGUUGUCCGGAUUUAUUGGGCGUAAAGAGUUCGUAGGCGGUCGAGUAAGUCGGGUGUGAAAAUUCUGGGCUCAACCCAGAGACGCCACCCGAUACUGCUUAACUUGAGUUCGAUAGGGGAGUGGGGAAUUCCUAGUGUAGCGGUGAAAUGCGCAGAUAUUAGGAGGAACACCGGUGGCGAAGGCGCCACUCUGGAUCGAUACUGACGCUGAGGAACGAAAGCAUGGGUAGCAAACAGGAUUAGAUACCCUGGUAGUCCAUGCCGUAAACGGUGGGCACUAGGUGUGGGAUUCUAUUAACGAAUUCCGCGCCGUCGCUAACGCAUUAAGUGCCCCGCCUGGGGAGUACGGUCGCAAGCUAAAACUCAAAGGAAUUGACGGCUUGAGAGUUGCGAGCGACGACGAGGGAGGAGG